CAGGCUUAACACAUGCAAGUCGAGGGGCAGCAUGGUCUUAUCUUGCUAAGGCCGAUGGCGACCGGCGCACGGGUGAGUAACGCGUAUCCAACCUGCCUUACACUCUUGGACAGCCUUCUGAAAGGGAGAUUAAUACAAGAUGUUAUCAUGAGUAAGCAUUUUCACAUGAUUAAAGGUUUACCGGUGUAAGAUGGGGAUGCGUUCCAUUAGAUAGUAGGCGGGGUAACGGCCCACCUAGUCUUCGAUGGAUAGGGGUUCUGAGAGGAAGGUCCCCCACAUUGGAACUGAGACACGGUCCAAACUCCUACGGGAGGCAGCAGUGAGGAAUAUUGGUCAAUGGACGAGAGUCUGAACCAGCCAAGUAGCGUGAAGGAUGAAGGUUCUAUGGAUUGUAAACUUCUUUUAUACGGGAAUAAACGAAUCCACGUGUGGAUUUUUGCAUGUACCGUAUGAAUAAGGAUCGGCUAACUCCGUGCCAGCAGCCGCGGUAAUACGGAGGAUCCGAGCGUUAUCCGGAUUUAUUGGGUUUAAAGGGAGCGUAGAUGGGUUGUUAAGUCAGUUGUGAAAGUUUGCGGCUCAACCGUAAAAUUGCAAUUGAUACUGGCAGUCUUGAGUACAGUUGAGGUAGGCGGAAUUCGUGGUGUAGCGGUGAAAUGCUUAGAUAUCACGAAGAACUCCGAUUGCGAAGGCAGCUUACUAACCUGUAACUGACAUUGAUGCUCGAAAGUGUGGGUAUCAAACAGGAUUAGAUACCCUGGUAGUCCACACGGUAAACGAUGAAUACUCGCUGUAGGCGAUAUACAGUCUGCGGCCAAGCGAAAGCAUUAAGUAUUCCACCUGGGGAGUACGCCGGCAACGGUGAAACUCAAAGGAAUUGACGGGGGCCCGCACAAGCGGAGGAACAUGUGGUUUAAUUCGAUGAUACGCGAGGAACCUUACCCGGGCUUAAAUUGCAACCGAAUAUGGCGGAAACGCUAUAGCUAGCAAUAGCGGUUGUGAAGGUGCUGCAUGGUUGUCGUCAGCUCGUGCCGUGAGGUGUCGGCUUAAGUGCCAUAACGAGCGCAACCCUUGCCGAUAGUUACUAACAGGUUAUGCUGAGGACUCUGUCGGGACUGCCAUCGUAAGAUGUGAGGAAGGUGGGGAUGACGUCAAAUCAGCACGGCCCUUACGUCCGGGGCUACACACGUGUUACAAUGGGGGGUACAGAGGGCUGCUACCACGCAAGUGGAUGCCAAUCCCAAAAACCUCUCUCAGUUCGGAUUGAAGUCUGCAACCCGACUUCAUGAAGCUGGAUUCGCUAGUAAUCGCGCAUCAGCCACGGCGCGGUGAAUACGUUCCCGGGCCUUGUACACACCGCCCGUCAAGCCAUGGGAGCCGGGGGUACCUGAAGUGCGUAACCGCAAGGAGCGCCCUAGGGUAAAACUGGUGACUGGG
RNAcentral lists this ribosomal RNA (1434 nucleotides) under uncultured organism. RNAcentral's name for it is "16S ribosomal RNA". It matches the Rfam family "Bacterial small subunit ribosomal RNA". The record is from RNAcentral.